AUAUACAACCCCCAUCCUCCUUUUAAAGGAGUAUAAAUAAAUACUGAUCAUCAGAAGCAAAAAUCCCCUUCCCACCCUCGCACCUCCACACCAGCGGAAAAAAGUAAUAAUCCCCACCGCCCAACCCCAACCCCCACCCUCCCCGGCGCGUGCGAUGCUUCGGCGCCGCCGGCGGCCACGGGUGGUGCAGUGAUGGUGGGCUUCUUCCGCAGCGGCAACCUUGCCUCCAGGGUGUUCGACCGCCAGUUCCUCUCUCCGCGCCCCGGCGCAACCGUUAAUACUGUCAGACAAUUCUAUGAGAAUUUGGUUCCAAGUUACACUAUAUACGACAUAGAUUGCCCAGAUUAUUCGUUUCGCAAGUUCACUGAUGAUGGCAAGUAUCUUGUGGCCUUUAGUCGAAACCACCAAGAUUUGAUUGUGUACCGUCCCAUCUGGCUAACGUUUUCAUGCCAUGAAGAAUGUGAUUCUCAUGACCUUCCGGCCAAUGCAGAGAGAUUUGACAGUUUCUUUAAGCAGCUCUACUCAAUCUCACUUGCAUCCAGCAAUGAGUACAUUUGUAAGGACUUUUUCCUUUACAUGGAGUGCCAUCAAUAUGGCUUAUUUGCAACGUCAACUGCACAAAGUAAUGACUCAAGUGCCACUGACGGUGCAAUUCACGGGGUACCAUCAAUUGAGAAAAUAACUUUCUAUCUUGUGAGGCUAGAAGAUGGUGCAAUACUAGACGAGAAAGCUUUCUGCAAUGAUUUUAUCAAUUUGGCUCAUAGUAUUGGUGCUUACUUGUAUGAGGAUCUGGUUUGCAUUGUCUCUCUACGAUAUCAAACAAUACAUGUCCUACAAAUCCGAGAUUCAGGCAGCCUUGUUGAGGUACGGAGAAUUGGUGCAUUUUGCCGGGAAGAUGACGAACUAUUUCUUUAUUCACAUGGCCAGGCUGCACAGGGGAAUUCUUUUCUUCCUGGCAUCAAGCAACGGUUGCUAUCAUAUAUUUUCCGGAAGACUUGGAAUGAGGAACCUGAUCAGGCUUUGAGGGUCCAGCAUCUGAAGAAGAAAUUUUAUUUUCACUUUCAAGACUAUGUGGAUCUUAUCAUAUGGAAGGUACAGUUUUUGGAUCGCCGUCACCUAUUUAUCAAGUUUGGUAGUGUCGAUGGAGGGGUUACUCGAAGCACUGAUCAAAACCUAGCAUUCUUUGCUGUGUACAACAUGGAGACGACAGAUAUUGUCUCACUCUAUCAGAAUUCUUCGGAGGAGCUGUAUUCAUUGUUUGAACAUUAUUAUGAUCAUUUCCAUGCAAAUCCUCAAAAUUCUUCGCAUGAGAAAUUUAUCUCGUCGCAUUCCAAUAGUGUUCAUGCUCUUGAUCAACUUUGCACCAUUAAAAAUAAAGCAAGCAGCUCCUCACAGCAGUUUGUGAAAAAGAUGAUGGCGUCAUUGCCUUACACUUGCCAAUCACAAAGUCCUUCACCAUACUUUGACCUGUCGAUUUUUCGUUAUGAUGAGAAGGACAUUGUAUAUCCUGCUAUUUGUAAAAAAAAAUGAGAACAGAGGGGAGACUCCCCCAUGUCUUAUUCAUAUGGGAGAUGACAAGACUCGAACCCGGGCCGGCGACAGCAACCUUUGUGCUGUCUAUCACUCCACUCAGAAGAGCUUCUCAUAUCCUGCUAUUUGUGACAUCUGAUUUCAGCGAUUGAUCGGCAUAGGCAUUGCACAGAGCAUCCGAUAAAAUUUAUAUCAGUGAGGCAACCAAAUGUCGUCAAAUUUAAGAUAAAACCAGGGUCAGAUUCUGGUGGUUCCGACAGCCGAGCAAAAAGAAUCUCUUCCUUCUUGUUUCACCCAUUUUUCCCGCUUGCACUGUCGAUUCAGCAGACAUAUAUGCAGCCAACUGUUGUCAAUGUACAUUUCAGGAGAUAGAAAAACUGUAGUCGCUUCCUCAAUUGUGUUUGGCCCAAUAGAAAUUUUGGUCAUCUGUGGUAGAUGUUUUAUCGGUUGAUCUUACUAUAGGAGAAAAAGAAGUGGUUUUUUGCUUCU
Aegilops tauschii subsp. strangulata is the source of this 2019-nucleotide RNA transcript. It is a transcript of the gene named light-mediated development protein DET1, with no coding region annotated. The record is from RefSeq and is a predicted model, not a curated record. NCBI's taxonomy places the organism in Eukaryota, Viridiplantae, Streptophyta, Magnoliopsida, Poales, Poaceae.